UGAGGAACAUGACCUUCGGCGGGGGAUAGCCGGCCCAACGGCCGGGUAAUACCGCGUACGACCUUCCGGGGACAUCCCUGGAUGGUGAAAGCAGCAAUGCGCCGAUGGAGUGCCUCGCGGCCUAUCAGCUAGUUGGUGAGGUAACGGCUCACCAAGGCGACGACGGGUAGCUGGUCUGAGAGGAUGGCCAGCCACAUUGGGACUGAGACACGGCCCAGACUCCUAGGGAGNAG
RNAcentral lists this ribosomal RNA (233 nucleotides) under uncultured bacterium. RNAcentral describes it as "partial 16S ribosomal RNA". It matches the Rfam family "Bacterial small subunit ribosomal RNA", at positions 118 to 347 of the family's 1533-position model. The record is from RNAcentral.